CAAUAGCGUAUAUUAAAGUUGUUGCGGUUAAAAAGCUCGUAGUUGGAUUUCUGCCGAAUGAGACCGACAGAUACCUCCGGUAUCCGUCAGGUGUGCAUGAGGCAUUUCUCAGUGUCUGUGUAAGUACUUGAUUGUGCUGCAUAAGCUCUGGGGCAUUUACUUUGAGGAAAUUAGAGUGUUUCAAGCAGGCAUCUGCCUUGAAUACAUUAGCAUGGAAUAAUAAGAUAGGGCUUCGGUUCUAUUUUGUUGGUUUCUAGAGCUGAAGUAAUGAUUAAUAGGGAUAGUCGGGGGCAUUCGUACUUAACUGUCAGAGGUGAAAUUCUUGGAUUUGUUAAAGACGAACUAGUGCGAAAGCAUUUGCCAAGGAUGUUUUCAUUGA
This 379-nucleotide ribosomal RNA is filed under the name uncultured eukaryote. RNAcentral describes it as "partial 18S ribosomal RNA". It matches the Rfam family "Eukaryotic small subunit ribosomal RNA", at positions 592 to 976 of the family's 1831-position model. The record is from RNAcentral.